UUUUAAUUUAAUUUAUAAUUUGAAAUUUUAAAUUAAAUUUGAUUGGGGCGAUGGAAAAAGAAUGAGUAUCUUUUUUAGUUUUAAAAAUUGGUUCCGUUUUUAACGAUUAAAUGAGAAAAAUACUCUAGGGAUAACAGCGUAAUAAUUUUGGAUAGUUCUUAUAGAUAAAAUAGUUUGCGACCUCGAUGUUGGAUUAGGAUUCUUUCUUGGCGAAGAAGUUAAGAAAAAGAAGUUUGUUCAACUUUUAAAUUCCUACAUGAUCUGAGUUCAGACCGG
RNAcentral lists this ribosomal RNA (276 nucleotides) under Ixodes persulcatus (taiga tick). RNAcentral describes it as "partial 16S ribosomal RNA". The stretch from base 130 to 276 matches the Rfam family "Bacterial large subunit ribosomal RNA", at positions 2473 to 2619 of the family's 2925-position model. Lineage: Eukaryota; Metazoa; Arthropoda; Arachnida; Ixodida; Ixodidae. The record is from RNAcentral.